Molecule: ribosomal RNA, 253 nt
Filed under: uncultured bacterium
Lineage: Bacteria
Description: partial 16S ribosomal RNA
Rfam family: Bacterial small subunit ribosomal RNA
Source: RNAcentral
UACGUAGGAUGCAAGCGUUGUCCGGAUUUACUGGGUUUAAAGGGUGCGUAGGCGGCUUAUUAAGUUAGUGGUGAAAACGUUCGGCUUAACCGGAUACCCGCCAUUGAUACUGAUAGACUUGAGUGCGACAGAGGGUGUUGGAAUGUGUGGUGUAGCGGUGAAAUGCUUAGAUAUCACGCAGAACACCGAUUGCGAAGGCAGAUGCCUAUGUCGUAACUGACGCUGAGGCACGAAAGCGUGGGGAGCAAACAGG